Molecule: ribosomal RNA, 429 nt
Filed under: Actinomycetes bacterium
Lineage: Bacteria; Bacillati; Actinomycetota; Actinomycetes
Description: Actinobacteria bacterium partial 16S ribosomal RNA
Rfam family: Bacterial small subunit ribosomal RNA
Source: RNAcentral
UAGGGAAUCUUCCGCAAUGGGCGAAAGCCUGACGGAGCAACGCCGCGUGAGUGAUGAAGGUCUUCGGAUCGUAAAACUCUGUUAUUAGGGAUGAACAAAUGUGUAAGUAACUAUGCACGUCUUGACGGUACCUAAUCAGAAAGCCACGGCUAACUACGUGCCAGCAGCCGCGGUAAUACGUAGGUGGCAAGCGUUAUCCGGAAUUAUUGGGCGUAAAGCGCGCGUAGGCGGUUUUUUAAGUCUGAUGUGAAAGCCCACGGCUCAACCGUGGAGGGUCAUUGGAACCUGGAAAACUUGAGUGCGGAAGAGGAAAGUGGAAUUCCAUGUGUAGCAGUGAAAUGCGCAGAGAUAUGGAGGAACACCAGUGGCGAAGGCGACUUUCUGGUCUGUAACUGACGCUGAUGUGCGAAAGCGUGGGGAUCAAACAGG